RNAcentral lists this ribosomal RNA (605 nucleotides) under uncultured bacterium. RNAcentral's name for it is "bacterial SSU rRNA". It matches the Rfam family "Bacterial small subunit ribosomal RNA", at positions 30 to 635 of the family's 1533-position model. The record is from RNAcentral.
CGAACGCUGGCGGCGUGCUUAACACAUGCAAGUCGAGUGCGCGUUUCCGUAGCAAUACGGGAAUGGCGCACGGCGCACGGGUGCGUAACACGUGGGUAAUCUGCCCUCUGAUGGGGAAUAACCCGCCGAAAGGCGGGCUAAUACCGCAUAACAUUCCUUGGACUCCGGUUCGAGGAUUCAAAGGCGCAAGUCGUCGGAGGUGGAGCCCGCGCACGAUUAGCUAGUUGGUAGGGUAAUGGCCUACCAAGGCUAUGAUCGUUAGCUGGUCUGAGAGGAUGGCCAGCCACACUGGAACUGAGACACGGUCCAGACUCCUACGGGAGGCAGCAGUGGGGAAUCUUGCACAAUGGGCGAAAGCCUGAUGCAGCGACGCCGCGUGGGGGAUGAAGCUUCUCGGAGUGUAAACCCCUUUCGACCGGGACGAAUGCCCGCAAGGGACUGACGGUACCGGUAUAAGAAGCCCCGGCUAACUACGUGCCAGCAGCCGCGGUAAGACGUAGGGGGCCAGCGUUGCUCGGAAUUACUGGGUGUAAAGGGUUCGUAGGCGGUGUGGCAAGUCGGGAGUGAAAUCUCUGGGCUUAACUCAGGGGCUGCUUCCGAAACUG